Molecule: ribosomal RNA, 176 nt
Filed under: uncultured bacterium
Lineage: Bacteria
Description: partial 16S ribosomal RNA
Rfam family: Bacterial small subunit ribosomal RNA
Source: RNAcentral
GCUGGAAUCGCUAGUAAUCGCGAAUCAGAAUGUCGCGGUGAAUACGUUCCCGGGUCUUGUACACACCGCCCGUCACACCAUGGGAGUCGGAAAUGCCCGAAGUCAGUGACCCAACCGCAAGGAGGGAGCUGCCGAAGGUGGAGCCGGUAACUGGGGUGAAGUCGUAACAAGGUAUC